Long non-coding RNA from Cyprinus carpio (common carp), 241 nucleotides. RefSeq lists it as uncharacterized. The record is from RefSeq and is a predicted model, not a curated record. NCBI's taxonomy places the organism in Eukaryota, Metazoa, Chordata, Actinopteri, Cypriniformes, Cyprinidae.
UUACAUUAUUGUAUUUUAAUUACAGGCUCAGUUUCUCUCAUAGUGCUGAUUUCUGCUGCUGGACCUCUGUUGAUUGUAGCUGCAGUUAUGAUCUUCUGCAUCUGCAGGAAACAUAGAAAAACUGAUCAUGAAGUUGAGACCUGUGAUGAAGACAUAAUUUAUGCUGAUCCCAUUUUUCUCAAAAGAAAAUGAAAAAUCGCAACUGAGAACCACUGGAGGACUGCUUGAUCUGCUUGAUGAG